UUACUUUGGCAGAUUANUGCUUUAAAUUUAGAAUUUAAAUAUGUAUGUUAAAUACAGGUAAUA
RNAcentral lists this transfer RNA (63 nucleotides) under Eriesthis cf. 'rhodesiana' DA-2011. RNAcentral describes it as "tRNA-Leu". The record is from RNAcentral. Lineage: Eukaryota; Metazoa; Arthropoda; Insecta; Coleoptera; Scarabaeidae.